AUUUAAAUAUCUUAUAUUAAAGUUUAAUAUUGAAAAUAUUAAGAUGAUAAAUUUAUUUAUCUUUAAUUU
RNAcentral lists this transfer RNA (69 nucleotides) under Proterops sp. QL-2014. Its description in RNAcentral is "tRNA-Phe". The record is from RNAcentral. Lineage: Eukaryota; Metazoa; Arthropoda; Insecta; Hymenoptera; Braconidae.